RNAcentral lists this ribosomal RNA (253 nucleotides) under uncultured bacterium. RNAcentral describes it as "partial 16S ribosomal RNA". It matches the Rfam family "Bacterial small subunit ribosomal RNA", at positions 524 to 776 of the family's 1533-position model. The record is from RNAcentral. RNAcentral also lists the same sequence under 1 other name.
UACGGAGGGUGCGAGCGUUGUCCGGAUUUAUUGGGUUUAAAGGGUGCGUAGGUGGCUGUUUAAGUCAGUGGUGAAAUACGGUUGCUCAACAAUCGAGGUGCCAUUGAUACUGAAUAGCUUGAAAUAAUUGGAGGCUGCCGGAAUGGAUGGUGUAGCGGUGAAAUGCAUAGAUAUCAUCCAGAACACCGAUUGCGAAGGCAGGUGGCUACGAUUGGUUUGACACUGAGGCACGAAAGCAUGGGGAGCAAACAGG